GCAAGUCGUGCGAGAAAGUUCUUCGGAUAUGAGUAGAGCGGCGGACGGGUGAGUAACGCGUAGGAAUCUACCUAGUAGAAGGGGAUAGCCCGGGGAAACCCGGAUUAAUACCGUAUACCUCCUUCGGGAGAAAGAAGGCCUCUCUUUGAAGCUUUCGCUAUUAGAUGAGCCUGCGUAAGAUUAGCUUGUUGGUGAGGUAAAGGCUCACCAAGGCGACGAUCUUUAGCUGGUCUGAGAGGACGAUCAGCCACAUUGGGACUGAGACACGGCCCAGACUCCUACGGGAGGCAGCAGUGGGGAAUAUUGGACAAUGGGCGAAAGCCUGAUCCAGCCAUACCGCGUGUGUGAAGAAGGCCUUCGGGCUGUAAAGCACUUUAAGCAGGGAGAAAAAGUUAUAAGUUAAUACCUUAUAACCAUGAUGUUACCUGCAGAAUAAGCACCGGCUAAUUCCGUGCCAGCAGCCGCGGUAAUACGGAAGGUGCAAGCGUUAAUCGGAAUUACUGGGCGUAAAGCGCGCGUAGGUGGUUUGUUAAGUUGGAUGUGAAAGCCCUGGGCUCAACCUAGGAACUGCAUCCAAAACUAACUCACUAGAGUACGAUAGAGGGAGGUAGAAUUCAUAGUGUAGCGGUGGAAUGCGUAGAUAUUAUGAAGAAUACCAGUGGCGAAGGCGGCCUCCUGGAUCUGUACUGACACUGAGGUGCGAAAGCGUGGGUAGCGAACAGGAUUAGAUACCCUGGUAGUCCACGCCGUAAACGAUGACAACUAGCUGUUGGAAGACAAUGUUUUUCAGUGGCGCAGCUAACGUUUUAAGUUGUCCGCCUGGGGAGUACGGCCGCAAGGCUAAAACUCAAAUGAAUUGACGGGGACCCG
RNAcentral lists this ribosomal RNA (870 nucleotides) under uncultured marine bacterium. RNAcentral's name for it is "bacterial SSU rRNA". It matches the Rfam family "Bacterial small subunit ribosomal RNA", at positions 57 to 923 of the family's 1533-position model. The record is from RNAcentral.